This 279-nucleotide unclassified non-coding RNA is filed under the name plant metagenome. RNAcentral's name for it is "partial contains small subunit ribosomal RNA, internal transcribed spacer 1, and 5.8S ribosomal RNA". The record is from RNAcentral.
UUUCCGUAGGUGAACCUGCGGAAGGAUCAUUAUUGUGUAAACUAAUUCCGGUGACUGACUCUUGCCCGGAGUGUGGGGGACGCUUGAGUUCCCUCACACGCAUCCAACGCACCCAUUUGUGCGCCAGCCCAAGGAUACCCAAUACUCUUAUUAACGGAUCUGCUGGUUUUUGCACCCAUGCUGUAUGUACAAGAUAGGAUGAGUAUUUGUUUGUUGCGAAGACGCGAUUAGUACAACUGUCAACCACCGAUCGCUUGACUCUCGCAUCGAUGAAGAACC